AUCAGGUUGGACCGGCUGGGGUAAUUUGUCCCGACUUUCUACCUUGGUAAUGUUAAAAUAGGAACAUUCCUGUGUGCAUGUGUCUUUCUUUUCUCCUUUAUUGAAGGCUCUGCACUGAACACAUUCUUUAUGCUCAGCACAGACACCAAGGCAGGUCUGACACAUCUCACACGUUUGCCCUUGAAACUUCGGAUCUGUACACUUACAGACACCACACUCGCAGAUGCCCCGGCCAUUGCAGAUCUGUCCGUUGCUGGCUUCACAAGUACUAGUAUCCAAAGAACAGUCACAUGCACUGCCAGUGUAGUUGGGGUUGCACUCACACACACGACACUUGCAAACACCAUUUCCUCCACAAAUUAAGCCAUUGGAUCUAUCACAGUUGAAAUUAUCACACUCGCAGAAUUUGCCAGAAUAAAUUUCAUUUGUAUUAUCCCUCUUCCUACAAACACACUGUCCGCAGACGCACUCUCCAUUGUUACUGCAGAUUUCUGAACUGUUUUCUUUCCUGCAGUAAGCAUCCAUGUCUUCACUGUUAACUUCAUCUGUGCUGCAUUCACAAUGUCUACCAACACGCCCUUCAUUGCACCUGCACGCGCCACACUCAAAUGUCCCAUUUCCUUCAUGACACUUGGGACUUUCAGGGAUGCCUUCGCUUUGGCAUUCACAUUCACAGAUGUACUGAAGAAUAACCUCUACUUCCUCCGUAAAGCCCAGAGGCCUAAUUUUAAAGCUGUCAGAAUCCUUUUUUGGACACUUAUUUGAAGUUAUGCUAAUUUCAAAUUGAACCUCAUCUCCAAUGGAAAUAUUGGAACAUUUUCUUCCAUUUUCC
RNAcentral lists this long non-coding RNA (832 nucleotides) under Homo sapiens (human). RNAcentral describes it as "LNC_000434". Lineage: Eukaryota; Metazoa; Chordata; Mammalia; Primates; Hominidae. The record is from RNAcentral.